UGCUCAGCGGGGCGUCUCCUUGUCCCCGUACUCGGACUCCGCGUUGGCAGGGUUGCAGACCAUCCGGUUGGCCCAGUGCCAGAUGAACUGCAGCAGGGUGCU
Molecule: non-coding RNA, 102 nt
Filed under: Heterocapsa arctica
Lineage: Eukaryota; Dinophyceae; Peridiniales; Heterocapsaceae
Source: RNAcentral